AAGUCGUAACAAGGUUUCCGUAGGUGAACCUGCGGAAGGAUCAUUAACACAAUUUACUUUAUCAAUAUCAACAUUGGAGCAUCUGACGAACCUCUAUAGGAGAACUCCGAAGUGUGGCAAGGUUUGAUGAGCUGAUCUCUGAGGAGAAAGGCUCCUGGCCUGUCGGAUAGCAUCCACGCUGAAAAGUGUGAGGUGCCAGUUCUACCCGUUCAGGUAUUACAGCCUCGAACCUGGCUGGUCUUUUUUUUAUAUUAACUUUGAUUUUUGUUAUGAAUUCAGUUUGGGAUCGAGAAUGGUCGCGCCCCUUUUACGGGGGAAUGUGACCGGACUCUCCUGAGCGCUUAGUGGAGAAAUCCAUUAAAUUAAUUGAAUACAACUCUUAUCAGCGGAUAUCUCGGUUCUC
RNAcentral lists this unclassified non-coding RNA (403 nucleotides) under fungal sp. RNAcentral's name for it is "partial internal transcribed spacer region". The stretch from base 1 to 46 matches the Rfam family "Eukaryotic small subunit ribosomal RNA", at positions 1786 to 1831 of the family's 1831-position model. Lineage: Eukaryota; Fungi. The record is from RNAcentral.